GCUGGGGCUGGGGUUCAGCGGUAGAGCGCUCACCUAGCAUGUGCGGGGCCCUGGGUUCAAUCCUCAGCACCACAUCA
This 77-nucleotide transfer RNA is filed under the name Marmota monax (woodchuck). RNAcentral's name for it is "tRNA.Ala". Lineage: Eukaryota; Metazoa; Chordata; Mammalia; Rodentia; Sciuridae. The record is from RNAcentral.